AAGCCCAGCUUGCUGGGUGGAUUAGUGGCGAACGGGUGAGUAACACGUGAGUAACCUGCCCUUGACUCUGGGAUAAGCCUGGGAAACUGGGUCUAAUACUGGAUUGACUUCUCACCGCAUGGUGGGGGGUGGAAAGAUUUAUUGGUCUUGGAUGGACUCGCGGCCUAUCAGCUGUUGGUGAGGUAAUGGCUCACCAAGGCGACGACGGGUAGCCGGCCUGAGAGGGUGACCGGCCACACUGGACUGAGACACGGCCCAGACUCCUACGGGAGGCAGCAGUGGGGAAUAUUGCACAAUGGGCGCAAGCCUGAGCAGCGACGCCGCGUGAGGGAUGACGGCCUUCGGGUUGUAAACCUCUUUCAGUAGGGAAGAAGCGAAAGGACGGUACCUGCAGAAGAAGCGCCGGCUAACUACGUGCCAGCAGCCGCGGUAAUACGUAGGGCGCGAGCUAUCCGGAAUUAUUGGGCGUAAAGAGCUCGUAGGCGGUUUGUCGCGUCUGCCGUGAAAGUCCGGGGCUACCCCGGAUCUGCGGUGGGUACGGGCAGACUAGAGUGCAGUAGGGGAGACUGGAAUUCCUGGUGUAGCGGUGAAAUGCGCAGAUAUCAGGAGGAACACCGAUGGCGAAGGCAGGUCUCUGGGCUGUAACUGACGCUGAGGAGCGAAAGCAUGGGGAGCGAACAGGAUUAGAUACCCUGGUAGUCCAUGCCGUAAACGUUGGGCACUAGGUGUGGGGGACAUUCCACGUUUUCCGCGCCGUAGCUAACGCAUUAAGUGCCCCGCCUGGGGAGUACGGCCAAGGCUAAAACUCAAAGGAAUUGACGGGGGCCCGCACAAGCGGCGGAGCAUGCGGAUUAAUUCGAUAACGCGAAGAACCUUACCAAGGCUUGACAUGUUCCUGACCGCCGUAGAGAUACGGUUUCCCCUUUGGGAGGUUCACAGGUGGUGCAUGGUUGUCGUCAGCUCGUGUCGUGAGAUGUUGGGUUAAGUCCCGCAACGAGCAACCCUCGUUCCAUGUUGCCAGCACGUAGUGGUGGGGACUCAUGGGAGACUGCCGGGGUCAACUCGGGAAGGUGGGGACGACGUCAAAUCAUCAUGCCCCUUAUGUCUUGGGCUUCACGCAUGCUACAAUGGCCGACAAUGGGUUGCGAUACUGUGAGGUGGAGCUAAUCCCAAAAAGCCGGUCUCAGUUCGGAUUGGGGUCUCAACUCGACCCCAUGAAGUCGGAGUCGCUAGUAAUCGCAGAUCAGCAACGCUGCGGUGAAUACGUUCCGGCCUUGUACACACCGCCCGUCAAGUCACGAAAGUUGGUAACACCCGAAGCCGGUGGCCUAACCCU
This 1336-nucleotide ribosomal RNA is filed under the name Micrococcus luteus. RNAcentral's name for it is "bacterial SSU rRNA". It matches the Rfam family "Bacterial small subunit ribosomal RNA", at positions 71 to 1442 of the family's 1533-position model. The record is from RNAcentral. Lineage: Bacteria; Bacillati; Actinomycetota; Actinomycetes; Micrococcales; Micrococcaceae.